Molecule: non-coding RNA, 47 nt
Filed under: Schistosoma mattheei
Lineage: Eukaryota; Metazoa; Platyhelminthes; Trematoda; Strigeidida; Schistosomatidae
Source: RNAcentral
UUCAGCUGACGAGUCCCAAAUAGGAUGAAACGCGCGUCAAACUACAA